Molecule: ribosomal RNA, 301 nt
Filed under: uncultured bacterium
Lineage: Bacteria
Description: partial 16S ribosomal RNA
Rfam family: Bacterial small subunit ribosomal RNA
Source: RNAcentral
CAGCCGCCACGGUAAUACGAAGGGUGCAAGCGUUACUCGGAAUUACUGGGCGUAAAGCGUGCGUAGGUGGUUGUUUAAGUCUGCUGUGAAAGCCCUGGGCUCAACCUGGGAAUUGCAGUGGAUACUGGGCGACUAGAGUAAGGUAGAGGAUAGUGGAAUUUCCGGUGUAGCAGUGAAAUGCGUAGAGAUCGGAAGGAACAUCUGUGGCGAAGGCGACUAUCUGGGCCAUUACUGACACUGAGGCACGAAAGCGUGGGGAGCAAACAGGAUUAGAUACCCCCGUAGUCCAUGUCUCUUAUAC